This 1181-nucleotide ribosomal RNA is filed under the name Heterodera glycines (soybean cyst nematode). RNAcentral describes it as "SSU rRNA". It matches the Rfam family "Eukaryotic small subunit ribosomal RNA", at positions 606 to 1823 of the family's 1831-position model. RNAcentral also lists the same sequence under 1 other name. Lineage: Eukaryota; Metazoa; Nematoda; Chromadorea; Rhabditida; Heteroderidae. The record is from RNAcentral.
CUAGCGGUUAAAAAGCUCGUAGUUGGAUCUGUGCUAGCCGUCCGGUGCACACUUUGUGUGUUACUGGUUUGGUUGGCUUUUCUGCCGGUCUUUCCCCGGCGUUGGCCUUUACCGGUCGGCGUCGGUGGGCUGGCGAGUUUACUUUGAACAAAUCAGAGUGCUUCAAACAGGCGUUUCGCUUGAAUGUUCGUGCAUGGAAUAAUAGAAGAGGAUUUCGGUCCGAUUUUAUUGGUUUUGCUGACCGAGAUAAUGGUUAACAGAGACAAACGGGGCCAUUCGUAUUGCUACGUGAGAGGUGAAAUUCUUGGACCGUAGCAAGACGGACUACAGCGAAAGCAUUUGGCAAGAAUGUCUUCAUUAAUCAAGAACGAAAGUCAGAGGUUCGAAGGCGAUCAGAUACCGCCCUAGUUCUGACCGUAAACGAUGCCAACUAGCGAUCCGCCGGCGGAUUUAUUCGCCCUGGUGGGGAGCUUCCCGGAAACGAAAGUCUUCCGGUUCCGGGGGAAGUAUGGUUGCAAAGCUGAAACUUAAAGGAAUUGACGGAAGGGCACCACCAGGAGUGGAGCCUGCGGCUUAAUUUGACUCAACACGGGGAAACUCACCCGGCCCGGACACCGUAAGGAUUGACAGAUUGAUAGCUUUUUCAUGAUUCGGUGGAUGGUGGUGCAUGGCCGUUCUUAGUUCGUGGAGCGAUUUGUCUGGUUUAUUCCGAUAACGAGCGAGACUCUAGCCUACUAAAUAGUUGGCUCAUUGCUUCUGUGGGCAAACUUCUUAGAGGGAUUUUUCGGUGUUCAGCCGCACGAAAUUGAGCAAUAACAGGUCUGUGAUGCCCUUAGAUGUCCGGGGCUGCACGCGCGCUACACUGGCAAAAUCAGCGUGCUUGUCCUUCCCCGAAAGGGGUUGGUAAACCGGUGAAAAUUUGCCGUGAUUGGGAUCGGACAUUGCAAUUAUUGUCCGUGAACGAGGAAUUCCUUGUAGGGGCGAGUCAUCAACUCGCUCUGAAUACGUCCCUGCCCUUUGUACACACCGCCCGUCGCUGCCCGGGACUGAGCCAUUUCGAGAAAUUCGGGGACGGUUAGUGUUCCGGCUUCGGUCGGUAUGCAGACUGGAACCGAUUUAAUCGCAGUGGCUUGAACCGGGCAAAAGUCGUAACAAGGUAGCUGUAGGUGAACCUGCUGCUG